Molecule: ribosomal RNA, 598 nt
Filed under: Debaryomyces fabryi
Lineage: Eukaryota; Fungi; Ascomycota; Pichiomycetes; Serinales; Debaryomycetaceae
Description: LSU rRNA
Rfam family: Eukaryotic large subunit ribosomal RNA
Source: RNAcentral
AUCAUAAGCGGAGGAAAAGAAACCAACAGGGUAUUGCCUUAGUAACGGCGAGUGAAGCGGCAAAAGCUCAAAUUUGAAAUCUGGCACCUUCGGUGUCCGAGUUGUAAUUUGAAGAAGGUAACUUUGGAGUUGGCUCUUGUCUAUGUUCCUUGGAACAGGACGUCACAGAGGGUGAGAAUCCCGUGCGAUGAGAUGCCCAAUUCUAUGUAAAGUGCUUUCGAAGAGUCGAGUUGUUUGGGAAUGCAGCUCUAAGUGGGUGGUAAAUUCCAUCUAAAGCUAAAUAUUGGCGAGAGACCGAUAGCGAACAAGUACAGUGAUGGAAAGAUGAAAAGAACUUUGAAAAGAGAGUGAAAAAGUACGUGAAAUUGUUGAAAGGGAAGGGCUUGAGAUCAGACUUGGUAUUUUGCGAUCCUUUCCUUCUUGGUUGGGUUCCUCGCAGCUUACUGGGCCAGCAUCGGUUUGGAUGGUAGGAUAAUGACUAAGGAAUGUGGCUCUACUUCGGUGGAGUGUUAUAGCCUUGGUUGAUACUGCCUGUCUAGACCGAGGACUGCGUUUUGACUAGGAUGCUGGCAUAAUGAUCUUAAGCCACCGUCUUGAA